RNAcentral lists this ribosomal RNA (467 nucleotides) under uncultured bacterium. Its description in RNAcentral is "partial 16S ribosomal RNA". It matches the Rfam family "Bacterial small subunit ribosomal RNA", at positions 28 to 507 of the family's 1533-position model. The record is from RNAcentral.
GACGAACGCUGGCGGCGUGCUUAACACAUGCAAGUCGAACGGAAAGGCCUCUUUCGGGGGGUACUCGAGUGGCGAACGGGUGAGUAACACGUGAGUAACCUGCCCUUGACUUUGGGAUAACUUCAGGAAACUGGGGCUAAUACCGGAUAGGAGCUCCUGCUGCAUGGUGGGGGUUGGAAAGUUUCGGCGGUUGGGGAUGGACUCGCGGCUUAUCAGCUUGUUGGUGGGGUAGUGGCUUACCAAGGCUUUGACGGGUAGCCGGCCUGAGAGGGUGACCGGCCACAUUGGGACUGAGAUACGGCCCAGACUCCUACGGGAGGCAGCAGUGGGGAAGAUUGCACAAGGGGUGGAAGCCUGAUGCAGCAACGCCGUGUGCGGGAUGACGGCCUUCGGGUUGUAAACCGCUUUCGCUCAUGACGAAGCUUUGUGUGACGGUAGUGGGUAAAGAAGCACCGGCUAACUACGUG